CUGGCCGUGGCGCAGUCUGGCAGCGCGUCUGGCCCGGGACCAGAAGGUCGAAGGUCCAAAUCCUUCCGGCCAGACCA
RNAcentral lists this transfer RNA (77 nucleotides) under Clostridia bacterium. Its description in RNAcentral is "tRNA-Pro". It matches the Rfam family "tRNA". Rfam says of the family: Transfer RNA (tRNA) molecules are approximately 80 nucleotides in length. Their secondary structure includes four short double-helical elements and three loops (D, anti-codon, and T loops). Lineage: Bacteria; Bacillati; Bacillota; Clostridia. The record is from RNAcentral.